Molecule: transfer RNA, 73 nt
Filed under: Propionibacteriaceae bacterium
Lineage: Bacteria; Bacillati; Actinomycetota; Actinomycetes; Propionibacteriales; Propionibacteriaceae
Description: tRNA-Thr
Rfam family: tRNA
About the family: Transfer RNA (tRNA) molecules are approximately 80 nucleotides in length.
Source: RNAcentral
GCCUCUAUAGCUCAGCUGGCAGAGCAUUCGCCUUGUAAGCGAAAGGUCAUCGGUUCGAACCCGAUUGGAGGCU